GUAUUAAUUCUUGGCUGUUUUUCUUUAGAAAAACAGGCAGGAGAUAUGGAGUUUCCCCCGCAAGAGGGUGCUUUGAAAUAGAUUGCCUUUGUUUUUGUUGGACUCGACGAAGUUUUUCAAAACCUGCAGAAAAGUAUUUGAAUGGAACCGUGGUUUCUCUUGAUGCUGAAUAUGCAGGCGAAAGAUGGAGUUUCCUUCAGGCAAAGGUCCAUACCUAAUAAGUCGGUUUUAGGACUGGCUUGAA
Molecule: unclassified non-coding RNA, 244 nt
Filed under: uncultured Chytridiomycota
Lineage: Eukaryota; Fungi; Chytridiomycota
Description: sequence contains ITS2
Source: RNAcentral